AGCUGGAGAUUAGGAUCAGGAGGGUAACCAAAGGUGUGGUAGAAGAGGAAUAUACUGAGGUGGACCUUGAAGGAUGCAAAGGAGGGGGGCGAGGCCAAAGGCCCGAUCAUUGGUGGUGGUGAGGGGAGUGGUGCAGGCGAGUCUGCUGAAUGGGCUUAGUGGGGAGGGGCCAGGCCAUGGAGGGCUCUUUUUUUUAUAAAUGUGGACGAGGAUCUUGUAACUUGAUCCUCUGGGGGAUGGGGAGCCAAUGAAACUGCGCGAGGAUAGGCGCAUGGAGCUUGGUGGGGCUAAAACUGCAGAGUUCUGAAUAAUCUGCAGCUUAUAGAGAGAAGAGUUGGGAAGACCGACAAGCAAGGAGUUUGAAUAAUCUCGAAACACACACGCAAGCUCUCGCUCAAAGUGCAAAUGCAAAAUAACUUCUGUUUAACCAUUACAAAUCUGAAGAGAAAUAUGGAAACUAGGGAUAAAUGUAUAUAAAUCCCUUUCAAUUGCAAGAGAGUGAAAGCAGGGGGCUUCUAAUCUAUUUUGGAUUUGUGAAGAGCAGACUUAAGGGUUCAGAUGCGCGCGCACACCUCCAGGGCACCACUAUGAUGAGAUGAUGUUGGUAGGGACAUCUGAUACUUGAUGAUAAUCCAACAUCCUGAGUGUUAAUCUGGCCCUUGGGUGGUGGCUGAAGGGAGCAUUUGAGGAGCUGGAGCUUAAUUCUUUGCAUUUACUUUUCAGGUUGUGGAUGAAGACUGGAGCCAGGUUUUGCUGCCUGGAGUCUGUCCAUAGGUGCUGCUGGGCUGUGUGGUCAGUGCUGUGCUACUGCCCAGGAGGAUAGCAUGGCAUGCCUGACUGACUGACCGCUGUAACCAGGGAAGAGAUCAGUGGCUGAGCCCACGGUGUAGCUGGUGCUGCUGGGCUGUGUGGUCAGUGCUGUGCUACUGCCCAGGAGGAUAGCAUGGCAUGCCUGACUGACUGACCGCUGUAACCAGGGAAGAGAUCAGUGGCUGAGCCCACGGUGUAGCUGGUGCUGCUGGGCUGUGUGGUCAGUGCUGUGCUACUGCCCAGGAGAAUAGCAUGGCCUGACUGACUGACUGACCCUGUAACCUGGGAAGUGAGCUGAUGCCGUCGCUGGUCCCUGGCAUAAGGACCACACCUGUCUGCAGUGAGCUGUGGCCGGUGCUAGGAACACAAUGCCAUCACUGGUGCUGGUGUGAGGGCCACACUUAUCUCAGGAUCUGUGGCCGGUGGUAGGAGCACAGUGAAGAGUGGAGGAGGUGCAAGAGGCCAACAGAUGCCAUCACUGGUGCCGGGGUGAGGGCCACAUGUGUGCAGGGCCUGUGCUGGCUCCAGGAAUCAUGGGCACAUUAGUGCCUCUGCACUAACAACUUGCAUUUAUGUAGUGCUCUUCACAUGGGGUAGUGUCCUGGAGCGCUAACUAAUUACUGGUGGAGAAGAUUCUGGACUGGGAAGAAAUCUGGCUUCAACACGCUUGUAUGUUGUACCUGGAAUUAAAGUUCAGUUUUUUAA
Molecule: long non-coding RNA, 1515 nt
Organism: Callorhinchus milii (elephant shark)
Lineage: Eukaryota; Metazoa; Chordata; Chondrichthyes; Chimaeriformes; Callorhinchidae
Exons: 16
Source: RefSeq, a predicted model, not a curated record